Long non-coding RNA from Eleginops maclovinus (Patagonian blennie), 4346 nucleotides. RefSeq lists it as uncharacterized. NCBI's taxonomy places the organism in Eukaryota, Metazoa, Chordata, Actinopteri, Perciformes, Eleginopidae. The record is from RefSeq and is a predicted model, not a curated record. The transcript has 6 exons.
AGAUGUUUCCCAGUCCCACUGCAAAGCCGAUGCACGUUAACAGGUACUGAAAUUUGUUGUCCCAUUUGGGUCUCUCCUCCCUCUCCACAGAGUCGUUUGUUUUGCCCAUCCUUAGUUUGCAAAAAGGCUUAGCAAAAUUCCUGUAAUCUUGCAAGGAUGCAACUCUCCUUCUCCUAUCCAAAUCUCCAGAUCUCAGUCAAAAUAUUCAGCCUUUAGUUGUACAGUCUAAGUGAUGUCCAGUGCACUACCCUCGUCCUCUGUCUUGCUCUCUAGGGCUGUCCUUUCACGUCCUAUAAAUUACAGCAUUCAGCCUUACAGAUUUUAUAGUUUUUUAUGAAGAAAUUGGAGAGGGAGGGAAAACAUCAGGCGUAAUGAUUUUGUGUUUGAACCUCCCUGCUUUAUUUUUUUUCUUCAGAAGUGGGAGGGUGCUAAGCCUCAAAUAAUGGAUAACCUGGUGAUGCUGUUUCAGUCUGAAAGUGAUCUGUUUGGAUGCAGUCAAUAAAAUAGACUUAAUGAACGUUGUUUCUUGAUGGAGCACAUUUUGAUCCAAUUGUUAACACUUAUUUACACAGCAAAGUAUAUACAUUUAAAUUAAUCAGGGAGGGGAAAUUGACAAACUAAAGAAAUAUAAGUGAGAUAAAUUGUGUACACCUAUAUGAAUAAAUAACAAUGAUUUAAUCUCAAGGUACAAUCCAUAGUCGAAAUAUAACGCACUUGCUAUGUCUCUCAAAUGUAAAGACGUGUUUUUGGAGGGCCCUACAUCCACUAAUCAUCAUCAAUAAACUGUUGGUAGUUGUUGGUGUUUGGUUACUUUGGUCCUGCUCUUUGGAACAAACCUGAACUGAGCUCUGUCUGCAUUCAGAGACAAACUGAAUGUACACUUGUAUACAUAUACUAUAUGUUUACCAGCUCUAGUUCUGGCCCAUUUAACUCACAGGAGCCGGGGGGCGAGCUGGUUAUUUAUAAAGGCGCAUUAAGGUAAAUGAACCAUAGGCAUUUGGAGAAAUAUGAUCUCUCAAGCCUGUAUGUUAAAUAGGAACGUAGUGCUAGCAGGUAUUACACUUAGCUUAGCAUAAACACUUGAAACUGGAAAAAGCUAAUAAGCAUGAUAUGUUUUUGGUAAAUCCAAACACAUCCAUCACAUGCUGUGUAUGCUUGCUUGCUCCAUGUGUUAUGCUUUGUUAAAUCUGGUUCACCUGGCCAUUUCACCUCAGUGUCAAUGUGAUGUCUCCCUCUCUUGGCUAAUUGGUUGCUCUACAGGUUUAAUAUGUUGUUCAUAGAUACAACAACUCUUUUGAUGAUACUCUUAAACACACCACAGACUACAUGUAUAUACAGCUCCGGAAAGACCACUUAAAUCUCUACAUGUAUGGCAGCCAUUCCAGUGUCUGUUCAAUUCCAACACGGAGAAAUGAUGUCAGUAGUUUAUAGAAUACAAUAAAAAAUAAAUAAUAAUAAUUUAACUCAAAGACGUACCUGUAGUAAAACCAGAAAAACUGAUGAUGCUGCAGUGGUCUCUUUUUUCCGGAGCUGUAUAUAUACAGUACAUAUAUAGGAUGACACAUGAUGCAAUGUAUGUACACAUAAAUACGUACACAAAAAUAUGUUCAUAUGAAAUCACACUGUGAUUUCCUCAUAGCUGUAACACUGUAUGAGCAAAUCACUCUACUUUUUAUGUCGUUGACCAAUACCAAUAUAAAAUGUUCUCCCAUAUUCUGAGGACGUGAAGACUCAGUGGAAAUACUACAACUAGACCCCGGAAACUCUUUUAAUAACACCUGUCCGUGACCCAACUUCCAACUUGGAAGCUGUACGUUUUGGCAUUUUAUGAUUUGUGAGCCUUUUUUAAAUUAGCUUUAGCAUACUGUGCGGUUAAUGUGCCUGGCUUUGAUUGUAGGUCCACCCACAGGAGAAAUGCUGGAUUAACAGUUGUGCAACAUUUGAAGCCAGGUGUAGGUUGAAAUGUUUACUGCAAUGCAAACUCACCUGGCUUUGGAGUGAAACAAAAACCUUUUCUGCUCCCUGACUCUUGAUUGUAAGCCUCUGUGUGUUAUUCUUUAUACUGUGCAUAUCUAGAGUGACUUGAUAGAAAGUUCCUGUAGGUAUAAAUGAACGGAAGACUAACGCCUCUCUUUUUGCAGAAACAAAGACUUGGUUUUUAUGGAAACUCACACUUUUUGCCCCGGGAUUUCUAACUGAAUUUAAAAAAUGUUGCUUUGUCCAAACACAACCUAAAGUCAAGUGUCAGCCUAAAUGUUACUGAUCAGAUUCCAGCUGGCAAAUGUGCGUGUAAAGUUUUGGUUCAGAUGCUCUUUUAUUGCGGUGAUUUCAGAGUUAACAGCUUAACUAGUUGACAGUUGUUCCCUGGUUGUAUUCAUGCUGUCAGCAAAGCCUUCACCAUUCAGUGCAGGCUCAGCUGUUGGAAGGAGGGGUUUAAAGACAAUGGACCAUAUGAGACAGAAGGAAACAAAGACAUAUCUACAUAAUGCAUAUACAGGCAUAGCCAGACUAGGGACUCCUGCCAAAAGAAAGAUGACAGCGUUGAUCCAGGAAGGGUACGGUACUGAUGCCAGAGAGGGAAACUUGUCCUGUAAACCACAAAACACAACUUAACUAUGCUUGAUACAACAGGAAUUUGUCUACUGAGCGAAGAUAGCAUUAUUGGAAGAGGAGUCAACAGAUGGAAAGAUGGCUUUUAUGAGCUGGAGUGCUUACCGAGUUGACAUCCCAGACUAAGUAGGUGAGCUCUUUUUGGGCUUGUGUCACCAGGUAGAAAACUAAGAUAACCAAAACGAUCAGAGGACUGAUGAACCUCCAUGAAACCUGCCAAAAGAUGGAGGGCUUACGUCCGACCAUGAACUCCAAGUCCUCAUUGAACCUGCCGCACAAAAGGGUUUUGAAAUGAGUCAUGAAUCAAACAGGACUUCAAUGGAUCAACCAUACCCCUCGGGUGUUUUGCUAAAGUAUUUUGAAUAAGCAGUUACCUGUCUAUGCCGUAGAUGUACACUACAGCUAUCAUCUCAAACAAUCCAAUGCUCAGAAGUGGAACAGAUCCAGCAAAGUUGUCAAAGAGAGUUACCCAAUAAAUCCCUGAAUUCUGCGCAAACAGGAGACAGAUGAUGAAGCCUACAGCACACGUGAUACCUGAAACACACGUCCAAAAUAUCAAGAGUUAAAACACGAAUCAGACAAACUAAACUUAGUUUAACUAAAAAACAAAUUACCAGUUACUGCUUCUUGGGGCCAUUUUUUAGGUAAAAUAUUCAGGUCUUUCAGUGGGACCACCACGCCCUCGAUAUUUCCAAAUAGGGUCGAGAUUCCCAAGCAAAGAAGCAUGACGAAAAAGAGGACGGACCAAACCGGAGAACCGGGCAUCUGGGUGAUGGCUUCUGUGAACACGAUGAAAGCCAGACCUGUUCCCUCCACUCCCUGCACCAACACAACCGAUGAUGGUGUAGGUGACUGUCGCAGCAUACACUGAGGGUUGUAGCUGGAGAAGGAGAUGAGGCCGCCCCAAGCUAAGCUAAAGGCAUAAAAGACCUGGGCACCCGCAUCCAGCCACGUUGUAGGAUUCAUCAACUCGUUCACCUGCAAUAUUCAGUAUGGUGUCCUCUGUUAACUUACCAAUACCAGUCAGAUAAGGGUGGAUGGAGCUCCACACUCCUACACUGCCCUUCCUGAGACGCUGGCCGAUACCAAACUCCAGCAGCAGGAGAGGCAUUCCUUCCAGCACCAGCAGGAUCAGUAUGGUGUCCUCUGUUGGAUCAGCUGACCUUACACCACCUGGUCUGUCAGUGCGAGGGCUCCCUCUCUUGGCCAAGUUGCUGCUCUACACAUUUUGCCUACCUUUUCUAAAACUAAUAGCUAAUGCUUUGAAAGACCAGCCUUUUCUCUGCUGUUAAAUAUUCCCACUAACCAUUCCACAAAUAAAAAUACUCUCCUAGUAGUCUUGAAUACAAUCAUAUGAGCAGUACGUGGGUACAAAGCAUGCUCACAAAUAAGUGCUUUACUGAUCAAUAAAACACCAUGCAUUGUGCUGUAUUCUGAAACGUCUGACUUUGAAACAGUGUUUUAAUUCUUUGAUACAAUUUUUUUCUUGCAGCAAACAAACACAAAUCUACAUAAUGCAUACACAGGCACUGCCAGACUGGGAACUCCUGCCAACAGGAAGAUGAUCACGUAUAUCCAAGAAGGGUAGGGUACUGACGCCAGAGCCGGGAAAUUCUCCUGUAAAACACAAAACGAUAUGAGUUUGAUAUCGUGGGAUAUUCAAAUUAUGGAUGUAAGAUUGACCAAAGGCAGUUUGCUUAUUAAAUACUGUAUCAUAGAGAAACAACAUUUACUUU